GACGAACGCUGGCGGCGUGCUUAACACAUGCAAGUCGAACGGUGAAGCGCCUUCCUUUUUGGUGGGUGUGUAUGAGUGGCGAACUGGUGAGUAACACGUUAGUAACCUUCCCCCUUCUUCUGGAUAACCGCAUGAAAGAGUGGCUAAUACGGGAUAUUCUGAGUCUGUCGCAUGAUUGGUCUGGGAAAGUUUUUGUUUCGGUGGGGGAUGGCCUCGCGGCCCAUAAGCUUGUUGGUGGGGUGAUGGCCUACCAAGGCGGUGAUGGGUAGCCGGCCUGAGGGGGUCGACCGCACCACAGGGACGGCAACACGGACAAGCCUACGACGGGCGGCAGCAGGGGGGAAUACUGAACAAUGGGAGCAAGCAUGAUGCAGCGACGCGGCGGGGGGGAUGGAGGCCUGCGGGUUGUGAACCUCUUUCGCCAGUGAAGCAGGCUUGCCUCGUUUGUGCGUGGGUUGACGGUAGCUGGACAAGAAGCGCCGGCUAACUACGUG
RNAcentral lists this ribosomal RNA (494 nucleotides) under uncultured bacterium. RNAcentral's name for it is "partial 16S ribosomal RNA". It matches the Rfam family "Bacterial small subunit ribosomal RNA", at positions 28 to 507 of the family's 1533-position model. The record is from RNAcentral.